CCUACGGGUGGCAGCAGUGAGGAAUAUUGGUCAAUGGACGAGAGUCUGAACCAGCCAAGUAGCGUGAAGGAUGACUGCCCUAUGGGUUGUAAACUUCUUUUAUAUGGGAAUAAAAUGUUCCACGUGUGGGAUUUUGUAUGUACCAUAUGAAUAAGGAUCGGCUAACUCCGUGCCAGCAGCCGCGGUAAUACGGAGGAUGCGAGCGUUAUCCGGAUUUAUUGGGUUUAAAGGGAGCGUAGGUGGAUUGUUAAGUCAGUUGUGAAAGUUUGCGGCUCAACCGUAAAAUUGCAGUUGAAACUGGCAGUCUUGAGUACAGUAGAGGUGGGCGGAAUUAGUGGUGUAGCGGUGAAAUGCGUAGAUAUCACGAAGAACUCCGAUUGCGAAGGCAGUUCACUGGACUGCAACUGACACUGAGGCUCGAAAGUGUGGGUAUCAAACAGGAUUAGAUACCCGAGUAGUC
This 460-nucleotide ribosomal RNA is filed under the name uncultured bacterium. RNAcentral describes it as "partial 16S ribosomal RNA". It matches the Rfam family "Bacterial small subunit ribosomal RNA", at positions 338 to 795 of the family's 1533-position model. The record is from RNAcentral.